RNAcentral lists this transfer RNA (72 nucleotides) under Gyalolechia ehrenbergii. RNAcentral describes it as "tRNA-Gly". It matches the Rfam family "tRNA". Rfam says of the family: Transfer RNA (tRNA) molecules are approximately 80 nucleotides in length. Lineage: Eukaryota; Fungi; Ascomycota; Lecanoromycetes; Teloschistales; Teloschistaceae. The record is from RNAcentral. RNAcentral also lists the same sequence under 3 other names.
GCUUGCGUGGUCCAAUGGUCAGGAUUCUACCCUUCCAAGGUAGAGGUCCGUGUUCGAUUCACGGCGCUUGCA